This 1347-nucleotide long non-coding RNA is filed under the name Mytilus galloprovincialis (Mediterranean mussel). The record is from RNAcentral. Lineage: Eukaryota; Metazoa; Mollusca; Bivalvia; Mytilida; Mytilidae.
AGAACUUUAAACAUACAUUUAAAUUUGUAUAUACAUUUUCAACACAUACUGGAAUAAAUGCUGUCAAUAAUGAUUACUCAUACCUAUGAAAUUGUAAAAAUGUCAGCUCAUAAUGGGGACAUUUCUUUAGAUUUUAAUUUCUUAUUUCAAUUGCAUAAGUUUUUAGGGCAAAUAAUUAUGUCUUAUCAUGCAUUUAUUGUUGUUUUUUUCCUUUUUAGAAUGGAACACUCUUAUGAUGAAAUUAUUUUCUUUUGUUUUGUUCAUUUAUCAAAUUUUGCAGAAGCAUGUGUGUAUAUUGUUUUGCGUACAAUUUCCUUCAUCUGUUACUAAAAUGAACAGUUUGGUGAUUGUUUUAUAUGAGUUAUUGCUCUGAAAAUUCUAUCAAUUUUCUGCAGUUAUAUUUUUUAUUCAUGACAUGCGUUUAUAUUUGGCUGAAUUGGGGAUAUGUACCAAGGCAUUUAUUGAGUAAUUUAAAUGUGUUUAUCCAGAUGUAAACCUUCAUCGUAAAAAAAGAGUAUUAAACAGUAGUCUUGGAAAACAGGGUGAUAUUCAGUUUAUUUUUAGCUUGACCUGAACAUAUUGUUUUGUAUAUGACUGUUUUGAAAAUGUGCUUUCCCAAGAAAAUGGAACGAAAGUUGACCAUAAAAAAAGACAAUAUAUUAGGAAAUUAACAAGAAGUCAACUGAAAACUUGAGAGCCUCAGAGACAAUGAAAAAACAAAUUAUUGGUUAGAGUUGAUUUUGUUUUGUCAAAAAGUUGAAAGGUCAAGGUAGCGACAGGUUGUGAUUAGAGUUAUAAAGCCAACUAAUAUGAGUAAAGGCAACAGUAGUAUAUUGAUGUUCAAAACUCAUGGUGUUGGAAAACUAUGUAUGAAAGGAAACUAAAUCUGCUUUCUUCCUUAAGUAGGUGUGAUAAAUGCUCAUGUUUUAUUGUCAGAAUGCAAUUAUUUUGUCCCAUUUAUGUUAACAUUAUUUUUAUACUAAUUUUUUUUGUUAUUUUAUUUAAUUUUCUUCCAUAAUUUUUAUGAUUUUUACAUUGACAGUGUGUGAUGAAUUUAUCGGUAAAGGUAGCGUAAUUUGGAGGGAAAAAGGAACUUUUUAUAUUAAUUGUUUAUAAUAAGAAUCUGGUUUUGUCAAUACAGUUCUGCUUGAAACUUUAAAAGAAAGUAUUGCAGAUGGUAAUAUAAAGUAUCAUUAUUUCUACAUCUUAGCUCGCUUGAAAGAGCAUAACUAUAAUAACAUUAUUAUUAUUGUUUUUAGGGAGCUUUUUUAAAAUAUGGAGGAAACUUGUUCAUUUGUUAAAAAUUUCAUCUGUAGAAUAUUGUUAUUUGUUACAAAGAUUCCAGAA